CCCUUAGAUGUUCUGGGCCGCACGCGCGCUACACUGAUGCAUUCAACGAGUCCAACCUUGACCGAGAGGUCCGGGUAAUCUUUGAAACUGCAUCGUGAUGGGGCUAGAUUAUUGCGAUUAUUAAUCUUCAACGAGGAAUGCCUAGUAAGCGUGAUUCAUCAAAUCGCGUUGAUUACGUCCCUGCCCUUUGUACACACCGCCCGUCGCUCCUACCGAUUGAGUGUGUUGGUGAGGAGUUUGGAUUGGCCUCGGAAGGUGGUUCGCCACCGUCCGUAGCUGAGAAGUUCUCCAAACCGCCCCACUUAGAGGAAGGAGAAGUCGUAACA
This 326-nucleotide ribosomal RNA is filed under the name uncultured eukaryote. RNAcentral's name for it is "partial 18S ribosomal RNA". It matches the Rfam family "Eukaryotic small subunit ribosomal RNA", at positions 1470 to 1796 of the family's 1831-position model. The record is from RNAcentral.